Molecule: small RNA, 67 nt
Filed under: Cytobacillus firmus
Lineage: Bacteria; Bacillati; Bacillota; Bacilli; Caryophanales; Bacillaceae
Also listed under: 1 other name
Description: Bacillus firmus Bacillaceae-1 RNA
Rfam family: Bacillaceae-1 RNA
Source: RNAcentral
CACGAAGGAAAGCAGACUAAGAACGCCACGUCAUGUGGCAACGUCUGCAUGGCCCCCAUCCUGGGGG